UUGGAACGCGAAGAACCUUACCAAGGCUUGACAUACACCGGAAACAUCCAGAGAUGGGUGCCCCCUUGUGGUCGGUGUACAGGUGGUGCAUGGCUGUCGUCAGCUCGUGUCGUGAGAUGUUGGGUUAAGUCCCGCAACGAGCGCAACCCUUGUCCUGUGUUGCCAGCAUGCCCUUCGGGGUGAUGGGGACUCACAGGAGACCGCCGGGGUCAACUCGGAGGAAGGUGGGGACGACGUCAAGUCAUCAUGCCCCUUAUGUCUUGGGCUGCACACGUGCUACAAUGGCCGGUACAAUGAGCUGCGAUACCGUGAGGUGGAGCGAAUCUCAAAAAGCCGGUCUCAGUUCGGAUUGGGGUCUGCAACUCGACCCCAUGAAGUCGGAGUUGGCUAGUAAUCGCAGAUCAGCAGUGCUGCGGUGAAUACGUUUCCGGGUCUUGUACACACGCACA
Molecule: ribosomal RNA, 449 nt
Filed under: bacterium CPTAC73
Lineage: Bacteria
Description: bacterial SSU rRNA
Rfam family: Bacterial small subunit ribosomal RNA
Source: RNAcentral